GUUCAUGGUUGAAAAAAUAGUUAGAUAAAUACAAAACAAUUAUCAAGAUAUGAAACAUCAAAAUAUUUUUCAAUAUAAGGUGAAUUGUAAUCUAGUAUAUUUAACAAACCUUAAUUUUAAUAAAGUGUAAUGUUGUCAUGGUCAUUGCCUAGCUCUUAGGCAAAUGAGGGGUCAAUAGUUGGGUUCCACUUAUAGGUAGU
RNAcentral lists this long non-coding RNA (200 nucleotides) under Elaeis guineensis (African oil palm). RNAcentral's name for it is "long non-coding RNA (EGUI_LNC037219)". The record is from RNAcentral. Lineage: Eukaryota; Viridiplantae; Streptophyta; Magnoliopsida; Arecales; Arecaceae.